Molecule: transfer RNA, 66 nt
Filed under: Veillonella dispar ATCC 17748
Lineage: Bacteria; Bacillati; Bacillota; Negativicutes; Veillonellales; Veillonellaceae
Description: tRNA-Ala
Rfam family: tRNA
About the family: Transfer RNA (tRNA) molecules are approximately 80 nucleotides in length. Their secondary structure includes four short double-helical elements and three loops (D, anti-codon, and T loops). Further hydrogen bonds mediate the characteristic L-shaped molecular structure. tRNAs have two regions of fundamental functional importance: the anti-codon, which is responsible for specific mRNA codon recognition, and the 3' end, to which the tRNAs corresponding amino acid is attached (by aminoacyl-tRNA synthetases). tRNAs cope with the degeneracy of the genetic code in two manners: having more than one tRNA (with a specific anti-codon) for a particular amino acid; and 'wobble' base-pairing, i.e. permitting non-standard base-pairing at the 3rd anti-codon position.
Source: RNAcentral
GGCGUAGCUCAGUUGGGAGAGCACCUGCCUUGCAAGCAGGGGGUCAGGAGUUCGAAUCUCCUCGUC